RNAcentral lists this ribosomal RNA (515 nucleotides) under uncultured Tepidanaerobacter sp. RNAcentral describes it as "bacterial SSU rRNA". It matches the Rfam family "Bacterial small subunit ribosomal RNA", at positions 8 to 526 of the family's 1533-position model. The record is from RNAcentral. Lineage: Bacteria; Bacillati; Bacillota; Clostridia; Thermosediminibacterales; Tepidanaerobacteraceae.
AGGGUUUGAUCCUGGCUCAGGACGAACGCUGGCGGCGUGCCUAACACAUGCAAGUCGAGCGAAGUUUAUACGAAGCGACCUUCGGGUCAAUUUGUAUAAACUUAGCGGCGGACGGGUGAGUAACACGUAGGCAACCUGCCCAUCACACGAGGAUAGCUGAGGGAAACCUCGGAUAAUACCCGAUACCUUUAUCUGUCAUGUGACAGAUAAAGAAAGCGUUAGCGGUGAUGGAUGGGCCUGCGGCCCAUUAGCUAGUUGGUGAGAUAACAGCUCACCAAGGCGACGAUGGGUAGCCGAUCUGAGAGGAUGACCGGCCACACUGGAACUGAGACACGGUCCAGACUCCUACGGGAGGCAGCAGUGGGGGAUAUUGCGCAAUGGGGGAAACCCUGACGCAGCGACGCCGCGUGAGCGAAGAAGGCCUUCGGGUCGUAAAGCUCAGUCAUUGGGGAUGAAAAGGACAGUACCCAAAGAGGAAGCCCCGGCUAACUACGUGCCAGCAGCCGCGGUAAUAC